Molecule: signal recognition particle RNA, 92 nt
Filed under: Humitalea rosea
Lineage: Bacteria; Pseudomonadati; Pseudomonadota; Alphaproteobacteria; Acetobacterales; Roseomonadaceae
Description: Acetobacteraceae bacterium W37 Bacterial small signal recognition particle RNA
Rfam family: Bacterial small signal recognition particle RNA
About the family: The signal recognition particle (SRP) is a universally conserved ribonucleoprotein involved in the co-translational targeting of proteins to membranes. Archaeal SRP consists of a 7S RNA and homologues of the eukaryotic SRP19 and SRP54 proteins. In most bacteria, the SRP consists of a 4.5S RNA and the Ffh protein (a homologue of the eukaryotic SRP54 protein).
Source: Rfam by way of RNAcentral
AGGCCGGCGGUGGACGGGCGCCUCGCCAACCUGGUCAGGUCCGGAAGGAAGCAGCCACAACGAGUUCCGCCCGGGUCAUUUGCCGGUCUUCC